This 253-nucleotide ribosomal RNA is filed under the name [Lactobacillus] rogosae. RNAcentral describes it as "Lactobacillus rogosae partial 16S ribosomal RNA". It matches the Rfam family "Bacterial small subunit ribosomal RNA", at positions 524 to 776 of the family's 1533-position model. The record is from RNAcentral. Lineage: Bacteria; Bacillati; Bacillota; Clostridia; Lachnospirales; Lachnospiraceae.
UACGUAUGGAGCAAGCGUUAUCCGGAUUUACUGGGUGUAAAGGGAGUGUAGGUGGCCAGGCAAGUCAGAAGUGAAAGCCCGGGGCUCAACUCCGGGACUGCUUUUGAAACUGCAGGGCUAGAGUGCAGGAGGGGCAAGUGGAAUUCCUAGUGUAGCGGUGAAAUGCGUAGAUAUUAGGAGGAACACCAGUGGCGAAGGCGGCUUGCUGGACUGUAACUGACACUGAGGCUCGAAAGCGUGGGGAGCAAACAGG